Small nuclear RNA from Jaculus jaculus (lesser Egyptian jerboa), 103 nucleotides. NCBI's taxonomy places the organism in Eukaryota, Metazoa, Chordata, Mammalia, Rodentia, Dipodidae. The record is from RefSeq and is a predicted model, not a curated record.
GCUUGCUUCGGCAGGACAUAUACUAAAAUUGGAACAAUACAGAAGAUUAGCAUGGCCCCCAUGCAAGGAUGACAGGCAAAAUCGUGAAGCAUUCCAUAUUUUU